GCACUGCCCUAGGCACCCAUUGCCGCCCCAGCCACCUGCCGCCGCGUAUUUCAUGGAUUUGCAGCGUAUUCCAAUCAACAUUUGGUGCUACUUCCACUUCCGGAUGAGGUAAAGCUUCAUCAACAGCCCCAGGAGGUUCUACUACUGCUACACUAAGCUCAGGCUCGCCAUGGAGCCUAGUCAAAUCGAUUGAACAGACAAAAAAAAAUUCAGUUAGAUGGGAAACCAACUACGGUUCAGCACACUCGAGUUAGGAUGCCUAUGGCAUCACGACGAGCACGAGAAGGAAGAAAUCACUUACCCAACUAGGAGAUCAAUCCAAUCGCAGUUCAUGGUGCAGAUCCACAAUGCCCUUUGAACCAGACCUCUUCCAACCUAGAACUAGUUCUUGGUGGCAGAAUAGGAUGGGAGGGUGUGCCCUAGGAGCAUGGUUCAUCGGGGAACUUGGGCAGUGGCGGCAGGCUUGGGCGGCCACUGCAGAACCUAGGGGACGAC
RNAcentral lists this long non-coding RNA (495 nucleotides) under Setaria italica (foxtail millet). Its description in RNAcentral is "long non-coding RNA (SITA_LNC004631)". Lineage: Eukaryota; Viridiplantae; Streptophyta; Magnoliopsida; Poales; Poaceae. The record is from RNAcentral.